CAAAAUAUCACUUCUGUCAUACAGACCAGCUCUGAUUUGAUAUGGAAGUUGAACACAUAAGACUAUAGAUAUUGGGAGUUAUCUUGGAUACUUGUCACCACAUAUAUCUAGAAAAUAAAACAUUGGUGAAAUCAACAGUGACUAAGAAGGAGGAAUCACAUAAGAACAUCAUCAGGGAUGAACAAUUCUCAUUUUGAAGAUCACUACACUGGAGGCAUUCAAUGCAAUGAUGCUGUUGAAAACAGAAUGUCUGGAGAGAGAGACCUUGGGAGUCAAGGAGAAAAUGUUGUGAAGACAUAGCCGCCUGGCUGUAUCUCAGAGGAUGAUUCCCAGCCGAGAGCAAAGUGCAAGGCAAAGUAUUUUCAAAAGCAUUCAUGGGGACCAUUAAAGGCUUAUGACAACUUCA
This is a long non-coding RNA of Felis catus (domestic cat), 406 nucleotides long. RefSeq lists it as uncharacterized. The record is from RefSeq and is a predicted model, not a curated record. The transcript has 2 exons. NCBI's taxonomy places the organism in Eukaryota, Metazoa, Chordata, Mammalia, Carnivora, Felidae.